GCCGGGGUGGCGAAAUUGGUAGACGCGCUAGUCUUAGGAACUAGUGGAGCAAUCCGUGGAGGUUCAAGUCCUCUCCCCGGCACAA
Molecule: transfer RNA, 85 nt
Filed under: Candidatus Wolfebacteria bacterium
Lineage: Bacteria; Candidatus Wolfeibacteriota
Description: tRNA-Leu
Rfam family: tRNA
About the family: Transfer RNA (tRNA) molecules are approximately 80 nucleotides in length. Their secondary structure includes four short double-helical elements and three loops (D, anti-codon, and T loops).
Source: RNAcentral